GCUGCUCAGCCUUCUGGAUGGAUUGGCUUUGGUGUGUCAACUGCACCUACAAGUCCUUUUGGUUGUUCUUCAACAUUUGGUCAAACAUUGUCAAAUCCUCUUUCCAGCAAAAGUACCAAUCCAUUUAGUCUAAAACCUCCAUCCUUUACAGGUUUUACAACCUCGACUGCUAUAUCAAAUCCUUUUCAAUGGACAUCAUCAAGCCUUUUUAUCCUAACUUCGGCAUCAACAUCUUCAAUAUGUGGUUCCUUUUGAGUGCAAGUUCAUAUCAUAUAUAAAUAAUUAAAUUCUUUUGAGUUCUCUUGUAGGAACCCAAUCUUCUGUACUGGCAUUUGGAAGCACUAGCUUUGGCCAGUCACCUUUUGGGGGUCGACAUGGGGGAAGUAGAGUAGCUCCUUAUACACCUACAACUAAAGCAGAUAGUUCGAGUGGUACAGAGUCAGCUGCAAAGUUGGAGUCAAUAUCAGCGAUGCCUGUUUACAAAGAUAAAAGUCAUGAGGAGCUGAGAUGGAAGGAUUAUCAGUUAGGAGAUAAAGGUAACUUUGUAAAAUAUUGUACAACCCUGAAAGUUAAUCAUUCUUCUUUUCAUGUGUUUGAAUUUAUCCUUGCUUAUAUCAAUUAUGAUUAAUUUACAGUGGUCUGCACCACCUGACCUAGCCUGCUGAGUGAUGGCUUUGGAAUGUUGAUCAACUGCACUACAAUGUCGUAUUGUUGUUUCUUCAACAUUGGCAUACAAAACAUCAUUCAAUCUAAAUUUUUCUCCACAAUUACACAUCUCUUUAGUCUAAACUCCGAUCCUUUAAUAGUACAGGUUUACAACUUGACUGCUAUAUCAAAUCCUUUCAAUGACAUCAUCAAGCCUUUUGGCCAACUGUCAUCAAAAUCUUAAAAGGUCUUCUUCCACUCCUACGUUGAAUGUUCAUCCUUUAGUCUGUCUUGUCACUCCUCAAUCAACUCACGUCCAUUUUGUGCUGGCGAGCUCCUCAACAAUCCAGCAUUUGCUACUGGUUUAAAUUUAGCAUUUGCUACUGGUUCAAAUUCUACCCUGCAUUGGGCAGUAAACAAGCAAGCUUUUGGGUGGAUGACUCUACCUUUGGACAGAAUACUAAGUAACUUUGGUCAAACAGCAUUUUCAAACACGCCUUCCACUGGAUUUAUUGGGAAUAUGUUUUCGAGUCUCUAUCCUUGGCUCCUUCUAGUAACCCAGCUGCCUUCGGCACACCUGUUAAGGUUAUAAUGUUUGUUGCUUAGUCUUCAAUUUGAUCUAAGCGCUUUAUUCUGUACAUUUUCAUCAUUCUGUUUUAGGGUUGCAGAAUUAUCUGCAUUUCUUCCUUCUUUUAUUGAACUGAAGAGUUCAAAAAUAAUUGUCUACUGGUUGAGCCCUGUGGUGUAUGAUUGAUUGAAAAGUGGACUAGAUAUCCAAUUUAAUUGCUGAUAGGAUUCAGAUAUUUGCUUCUCAAUACGCCAAUUACAAUGCUAAACUUCUCGAUACAUUUCACAGAGGCGGAUUAAGUUGCCUUCAAGGAAAUAAUAUUUAGGUGAGGGUCCUACCACUCAUGAAAGAGCAACUCUAAUCCGCUGAUAUAAAAUAUUAUUACAUUCCUCACCAUAUAAGAUUACAGUUCUUACGUGUUUAUUUCAUUUGUUAAUCGAUAUCUUUAGGAUUCAUUUUUCAGUGAUGAUGAAGAUACACCCAGCACACCUAAGUCUGAUGCUGUUUUUAUUCCUAGGGAAAACUCAAGGGCUCUGGGCAUUUAUCCUAGAGCUGGUCGACGGGAAAGGGCUGGUCGAGGGGAGAUGGGAUGUUAGUGCUCUUACCUGAAUCUUUGAAUUUUAAGGAGUCUCUGUUCAUGCUUUAAAUCGUACAUAGGUAUGCAUGCCUGUAGUUAUAUGUAUUACUUUUUUUGGACUGAAUAUUUAUGUCCUUUUCACUUGGAUUUCUUUUUUUUUUUUGAUAAUUUCUCACUUGGAAUAUCGAUACAUGGAGUAUCAACCAAUAUUUGUAUCUGAAACAAAUUUAUUUAAAACCAGUGAUAUUAGUGUGGAAUAAGUCAAUCAUAAUUGAUUGUAACCGGUGAAAGUGAAGAAAAGAAUUUAGUAAAAGUUGUGGAGAAGUGUGGAGAAAGGAUGUUAGGGUUAGUUUAGCAUUGUAAUAGGCGUUGAAAAAUUUUAGAUGGAAAAAAAUUGUAUUUAAAAAGUGUAGUAAGAAAAAUAUGUUUAAAAGGUUUGGGUGGAAAAAAAUGUUUUGAGAAAGUGUAAUAAGAAAUGUGAUCGAAAAAAUGUUUUGGUAUUAAUAUGAAAAAAAUACUAAUAUGUCAAUAAUUUAUGUUUAAAUUUAUAUUUAUAAAAUAACAAAAUAUAAAAAAUAUAUGGAUAAUAUGAUUUUUUUUAUUCAAAAUACUUUUUUUUUUCAACGCAAAAACAACCCUUGAUGAGUUUUUUAGUUUGGGCUAGCAAAAUCAAAAUUUUUAACUAAAAACUUAUAUAUAUUUUUUAGUGUUUAGCAAUGAGAUUAGAUCAAAAGCAGUUUUUGAAGAUAAAUGAUUUUCGACAGUAAUAUUGAACUAGACCUAAAUUUAGUGGAUGAGUUGUGUAUUAGAUAAAUUAUAUAGGCAAAGAAGCACUAUGGUAAAAUUUCACUUAUGGUACGUGGCAAAAUUUCCUCUUAUCAUAAUAUAUUAUUUUUCUUCUAAUAUUUUUAAUUUAAAAUGAUUUAUUUUGGUGCGCAAAGAUGAAAAACAACCUUCUUUUAUAUAUUUUUUUUCCUCUAACUUUUUUCUUUUAUCAAAUAAUAAUGAAAAUUAUAUUCUUUUCACUUUUUUAUUCACUCUCUUUCAACAGUCACUUCCAUCCACUAAUUCUUUUUACAUUAAUAAAAAAUUUAUUUAUUAAAAAUAAAACCCACAUUUAGUAUGAUCAUUAACCAAACGUUCUAUAUUAUUUUAGUCUAAAAUUUAAAAUUUCAAAUAAUGCAUAAAAAAUUCCUAUUAUACAUCAACUUAAGAUUCAUAAAUAUUAAUUGUUCACACGUAUUAUCGCGUUAUUAAAGUUUAUUGAAUAGAUUUAAAAUUUAUUGGUAUAAUUUAUAUUUAAAUGAUCAUAUAUAUAUUUUUAAAUGUCUUAACGUAUGUUAUUUUUUAAGUUUUAAAAAUAUAAGUUGAUAAAUUUUUGUAUUUGAUUUUUUUUGUAAUAUUUAAGUAAACAGAAGAAUAAAUAAAAAAUAUUUUAUAAUUUGAUCAUUAAAUUAAUAAGUUAUUAAUUUUUAUCCUUUUUCAUUUUUCUACCAAACAAAAACUUAAUCCUAAAUAACAAUUGAAAAAUAAAAAGAGAACGUAGAUAUAAGAAAAAUAGGGCUUCGGUUUGGAAAUUGGAACUCAUAAUUGGAUGCCAUUUCGACCAUUCUCAUCUCAUGUUAACGAAACUGAGAUUUGAGACUUCCCAAAUUUGGGCUCAUCAAUGAAGGGCCUAAAGUAAAACUAAUAAGUAAGCAAAUCUCCGGGCCCUAAGAAAAACUCAAAAAAUUUUCCAGAGAUGACGUGGCAACCCGUUAGUUUUUGCCGUGGACCCCAUCAGACAAUCGGGUUUGGUGAGGCCAGAGAACCAGAAGAGAAACGCGAUUUUCAAUUCCCACCAACCCCCGAUUUGGCGUUUGGAAAUUCACCUUCUUUUUUCUGGUUGCCUUGCUUGGAGUUUGGUUGGUGAAGCCUUCCACUGAAGUCAAUCAUUGUAUCCAACACCUACCACCACCAGACAUCAAAAACAAGUUUUUUUUUUUAUUUUGAUACCAGAAUUCCACUCUCAAUUAACCGAAACAAAGGUACGAAAUUUCCUCUAAUCUUUGUCUCAUAGAAAUGGCACAGGUUAGCAAAAUCUACAAUGGAACACAAAAUAUAUGUCUUGUGCCCAAUGUCUCAAAACCCCAGAAGCCCAAAUCUGUUCCUUCAGUUUUAUUCAGAUCAAAUCUUGAAGGAGGUUUUUCAAGUUCUUUGGGUUUAGUUGUGAAGAGCAAUGGCAGGUUGGGAACAAUUAAGGUUGGGUCGUUGAAGGUUUCGGCUUCAACAGUAACAGAUAAGCCAUCCAGAGCAUCAGAAAUCGUUCUUCAACCAAUCAAUGAAAUAUCGGGUACGGUUAAGUUACCCGGGUCCAAAUCAUUAUCCAAUCGGAUUCUGCUUCUCGCUGCUCUAUCUGAGGUAUGUUGAUUUCAUAGUAUUUAUAUUCUUUAAUUAGUUUAUGUUUUAAUGUUUGUUCGAUAUGUAGGGAACUACUGUGGUAGACAAUUUGUUGAAUAGUGAUGAUGUUCAUCACAUGCUUGUUGCUUUGGGAAAACUUGGGCUAUAUGUGGAACAUGACAGUGAAAAAAAACGAGCCAUUGUGGAAGGUUGCGGUGGUCAAUUUCCAGUAGGGAAAGGGGAAGGUCAAGAAAUUGAGCUUUUCCUUGGGAAUGCUGGAACUGCGAUGCGACCUCUUACUGCUGCUGUUACAGCUGCGGGUGGCAAUUCAAGGUCUGUCCAAUUAUUUUCAUUUUAACAAAGAUAUAAUUUGGAAAUGUAACCAUUUAAUCAUUUCACAGUAGCUGGUUUCCUAUAUAAGGAAUCCAACUGUUGAAAAGGACCUAUUAGUUGAGUAAACAAAAUGUUGCAUUUUCAUGGAACUAUCUGCUUAUAUGCUGAUGCUUUUUGUUUUGUGUAUUACUAUCAAUUUUUUGAGCUAAUGCAUAUAUGUUACACGUCUCUUUAGCUACAUACUUGAUGGCAUACCACGAAUGAGAGAGAGACCUAUUGGGGACUUAGUUACUGGUCUUAAGCAGCUGGGUGCAGAUGUUAAUUGUACUCUUGGCACAAAUUGUCCCCCUGUUCUUAUAAAUGGAAAGGGUGGUCUUCCUGGGGGAAAGGUAUGUCUCAAAUCAAUUUGUUAUGUUACUGUGGUUUCAUAUCAUUGGAUAAACUGCUUUUAUGAAGGUCAUCCUGGAACCUCAUUAGAAAUUGCCUUUCUAAGGUAGAUAUGGGGAGCCACAUAAGCUACCACUAGAAAUGAGCUUCCAUUCCAUGUUAUUGCCCAAUAAAUAUUACCUUCAGUUAAACUUUCAAUUGUCAUGCUCAUGAAAGCCAAUAUUUUAACCUUCUGUUGAUGUAUGGAUGAGAAUUAGUUUGUAAUGCUGUCUGUUGAAAUACGAGUUAUGGCAGUUUGGAUAAACUUUUACGUGGAUUCUCUUUUCAUUUUUUGGAUUUUUCUAUGUCUAUUACUUGCUUGCCAGGUGUUACUUGAAUGUUGCUUUUUGCGUAUACAUGGGAAUGAUCAACUUGUUAACUAGUUAGUAUUAAUCAUUGAUGUGGCACAUAUCUUCCUUGGGCCAUUUUUGGUAAAGGAACCCUUGAUCUUAAAUUCUUGAAAAUGCAAAAGGAGAGGGAAAGUAGAUUUUCCUAUCUGUCUAACUAUUCAUUUCAGCAAAUUAAUCAUAUUCAUUAUAUUAUGUCUGAGACUUUGGACUAUUUGUAAGGUCUAAGCGUUGUCUUCUUUUGCUUAUGUUAACUUCUAGGUUGUGUAAAAGAAAAGACUAUAUUUUGACCAAAAUAAAAAGGAAAAAGACUAUCUGACUUAACUUCUGGUGUUGCCCAAUUCCAAUAUUCAUGAUAUACAUCUGGUGUGGAUCCUUUUCCAGGUGAAACUCUCUGGAUCAAUCAGUAGUCAAUACUUGACUGCUUUACUCAUGGCAGCUCCUUUGGCUCUUGGGGAUGUAGAAAUUGAGAUAAUUGAUAAAUUGAUUUCAAUCCCAUAUGUUGAAAUGACUAUAAAAUUGAUGGAAAGGUUUGGGGUCACUGUGGAGCACACUGAUAGCUGGGAUCGGUUCUAUAUCCAGGGAAGUCAAAAGUACAAGUAGGUUUCUAUGACGUGCACCCAUGUAAAUAGCUGUACAAUUCCAUAUUCUGUUUCUACUUAAAGUCAUAAAUUGAUAAAUCUUUCAGGUCUCCUGGAAAUGCUUAUGUUGAAGGUGAUGCUUCAAGUGCUAGUUACUUCCUUGCUGGUGCAGCAGUCACUGGUGGGACUGUCACUGUAGAAGGAUGCGGUACAAGUAGUUUACAGGUACUUUUUGUUGUGAAGUCCAUGAAUGUUGUUAAGUUCCCUACCAAAUUAAAUUAUAUCAUAUGUUUCCAGUGUGAGUGGAAGUAUUUGCCUUGGAUUUCUUACAACAUUACUUUCUGCCUUUCAAAAGUGUUGUUGAACUGUUUGGGCUGUCUUUAAGGCUGAUCCUGGAUUCCUUUUCAUUGAUUAUUGCAAAUUGUUUUUCCACUAGAGUUAUCAUACUACCUAGGAUGUGCUGCAUCUGAACAUAAACUCAUGCUUAUUUUUCUUUGUUUUUCUUUUGAUCAAGGGUGAUGUAAAAUUUGCUGAGGUUCUUGAGAAAAUGGGUGCCAAAGUCACCUGGACUGAGAACAGCGUCACUGUCAUUGGACCCCCAAGAAAUUCAUCUGGAAGGAAAAACUUGCAUGCUAUCGAUGUCAACAUGAACAAAAUGCCAGAUGUUGCCAUGACCCUCGCUGUUGUUGCCCUUUAUGCUGAUGGUCCCACUGCCAUCAGAGAUGGUAUGAUCUGGCCUUUUGUUUCUCUAAGAUGAACAUGUUUUGUUAUGCAUGAAUGGCAUCAAAGGAGAAAAUUGGUCACAAAAAGAAUCUCUGUUAAUGGGAAACGUCACUCCUAAAAUGCCUUUGGAUUAAAAGUGAUCUUUUUGAUUAUUGGUAGUUCUGAGCAAUAAGUGUUCUUAUUUCUGGUACUGAACAUUGUACACAAAAUUUGAAUAUACUUCUUUCAUUUCUUUCCAACUAAAAACUAUUGAUAGCCUAAGUACUAUUAUUUUAUCUAAUAACAUCUUCCCUUCCCUGGUUCUCUUCAGUGGCAAGUUGGAGGGUGAAAGAGACUGAAAGGAUGAUUGCUAUAUGCACUGAACUCAGGAAGGUGGAUUCUAGCUAGCUUUAUGCUUAUAAAUAUCCUCUAGAUGAUACUAGUUUGGCUUUUGUUUUCCUUAAUUUUGUUUGGUUUCACAUUGCAGCUCGGAGCAACAGUUGAAGAAGGACCAGAUUAUUGUGUGAUCACUCCACCAGAGAAAUUAAAUGUGACAGCAAUUGAUACUUAUGAUGAUCACCGAAUGGCCAUGGCAUUCUCUCUUGCUGCCUGCGCAGAUGUUCCAGUUACCAUCAAGGAUCCUGGUUGUACACAGAAAACCUUCCCUGACUACUUUGAAGUUCUCGAGAGGGUUACAAAGCAUUGAAUGGCUCUUCUACUUUGUUAUACUAGAGAGGAAGAAGAGGAUGAGGGAUAGGUUCAUGCCACUUUCUUUAAAACCAGACUGAAAGUAGUUGAACCUUGUAUUUGAAGUCAGCUUGUAAUCUUUGAUAGUUUCAUGUCGGCAAGUUGAGUUUGUUAUCAGUUUCUUCCCCGACUUUAACUUGUUUUCUACUUAUUGUGAGUUAUGACUUGGUGCUUGAUCCUUGUCAUGAAGACUGUAAUACAUAAUUGAGGAUUGAUUCUUUUUGCAAUGCCUAUUCAAUUAAUAUUUAAACGGUUCUCACUUUUGCUGUUUCCUUUCUUGUUAUUCUUUGGAAAAUGGAAGGGAAAGUGGGUAAGGGAGCCUGCAACUUAAAUUUGUUCUUCCAUUUGUAUGAAAACAGAAAUUUCAAUUGAAACAUUGUUGUGCAAACUAGGAAAAGAAACAAGGUGGGAUCUAUGGAUCGGCAGUGGCAGUUUAGAUUGCAUCAAUAAUGAGCGGAAGACGCCGACUCCAGAGGCUAUUAGUAAUGUUAUAUUUUUUAUCGAGAUAACUGUAAUGUAUGGAUCAUGGGAUAUGCAUAUUCCAUAAAUUAUUUAAAUAAAAUAUGCAAUUCUCACAAAACCAUAGUAUUAAGUGGUCCAAGUCCAGCUUACAUUAACUGGCAAGGCAUGGAACAUGUUGCAUUGUUGCCGCUUUGCCAGCCAUAAAGAAAAGAUAACCGAGGACGUUUUUCUCGACUUCCUUUCCACCAGUUCCUCACAAGGGGUGGGUGACAAGCAGCUUCGAAAUUUAAUUUUAGAAUUUUUUUUUCUCACCAUUAAUUUAUUGCUCAUCUUGCUGAGUAACCAAGGUUCCACAAUCAAGACACCAUACCAUAGUCCAUCUUGUAAAGUAAAAAAAUAAAAAAUAAAAAAGGUAAAGAUAAUCAACAAUGAAAAGUUUUUGUACCUAAGCAAAAUCAGGAUUUUGUAUUAGAAUGUGAAUUAUAAAGCAGGCUGUUUAAAGUAAUUUCUUGACUUUCAGCCAAGAGUAUGAAGAAAUCUGGGGUUUUGGUUGUUUCAAUUAGAAAGAAAAUCCUUGGAUGAAGAUGAAGAUGAUACGUGAGGGGCAUUGUAUAGGGAGAUUGGGGUCAGAUUUUGGUGUAAUUCUUUGUUUUUGAGUCACAAAAAGAGUUUUCAAAUGAAGUAAAUUACACAAAAAGAGCCUUUGUGCAUUAUGUUGAUUGCUAUCUACAAUCCAAAUGAUGAUAGCUUAGCUUAACAAAAAUUGCAGUCUAAGAUAUCUGAAAGAAAAUUUCAUGGAAAGUUUGUUGCUUUUGCCUUUCAUUUCAAGCGUGUUUGCACUGCCUGCGCUCACUAAUUCUGACUCUUUUUUUUUUCUUUUUCUUAUUAGAUUCAGACAGUAUCCUAUGCCUUGCAUAUGAAAAUUCACAAUCUGACUUGUUCAGCGAUAUAAUAUAAAACUAUCAAGAGGCUAGUAGAUUUGUAGUGGCACCAUUGUCUAGUCUAUAAAGUACCAUACAGUUGGAGUAAAAAAAUUUUUGGUGACAAUUUAGUUAAUUAGUGCAGAUGCCAGGGAAUAACUGAGACCUGAAUUAACAUAAAAAAAAAUUAUUAAAAAAAAAAAAAAAAAACUCUGCAUCAGGGUAAUGCUUGCAAAAGAAUUCCCAUUUUCAGUUUUUAAUUCAAUAUUUAGGUUGAUAGGUUUAGAGCCUAUGUUUAAUGAAUAUUUUUAACAUUAUUAUAAAUAAUUAUAAUUUCAUUUAAUACAUUAAAUUAAUGAAUAAAAUUCUUAAUUAUUAUAAUUAAUAUAAUAAUGUUAUAAAUAAUAUAUUAAUUUUUUUAGUAAGCUGUAAUUAGCUUCAAAAUCCUCAUCCACACCAAUACCAUCAACAACAAAAUCCCAAACUGAAUAAGGCUCUUCUGACUAAGGGUUUCAGACGUCAAUUAUCCUUAAAAACAGGGGACGCCCCAAUUUCGAAGGGCUCUCACAGCCGAUCAAAUUCUAACCUCACAGAUAAAAAUUAGACAAAUGCUGAUUUCAUAUUAGCAGCACUUUUUUCUCUGAAACAGGAACAAGAAAAUCUUAACCUCGCCUAUUUUUAACCAAGUCAAUAGAAGAAUCAACCCACUUCAUCAAAUACUGUUGUUUGACUCUUCUUGCUCUCCCAAAAUUCUUCUGUUUCUCUCUCUUCUCCCCAGUGAAGUUUCACACUUUUUAAAGCAAAAAUCAAAUCUUUGAUGCCUCAUCUUUCUUUCUAGAGCCAUUGAAAGAGCUUUCAAGAAACCGGAAGAUUCCCCUUUUCAUCACCGUAAUGAAUAAGAGCCCCUGAAAAACCCAACGAUAAAUAAAAUCAAUUUUCGCCGGUCCUUCACCGUCAUCACCGCCGCCAAAGCGGAGUUAUCCACAAAUCACAAAUACCCAUUUCUCCAAAUCCUAACAAACUCAGAUUUUGAGUCGUCCAAUAACCUCAAAAUUUUCAAAACAAAUGUCUCAUCUUGACGACAUUCCAUCAACACCAGGGAAAUUCAAGAUGGAAAAAUCACCCUACGUUCACAAUAGACUAAGGUGGCACUUUUCUCUUGCAAAGCUCACAUUUUGGUCAUUUAUCUUCUUGGGCCUGAUUGUGGUCUUCUUCUUUCGAUCUCCAUCCUCCAAUCCUCUUCUGCAAGAUCCAUCUCGCCGCUCUCUCCGUACGUACAACUGGGGUGGACCCGCUUGGGAGAAACAGGUCCGUUCCUCUGCACGUAUCCGUUCCCGCAACGGCUUCUCCGUUUUGGUUACUGGAGCUGCCGGUUUCGUCGGUACCCACGUGUCGGCUGCUUUGAAAAGGCGUGGAGAUGGAGUUCUUGGACUUGAUAAUUUCAAUGACUAUUAUGACCCUUCAUUAAAAAGAGCUCGGCAAGCGCUUCUGGAACGAAGUGGGGUUUUCAUUGUGGAAGGAGAUAUCAAUGAUUCAGUUCUUUUAAGGAAACUUUUCGAGGUUGUUGCAUUUACCCACGUGAUGCAUUUGGCUGCUCAAGCUGGGGUCAGGUAUGCUAUGGAAAAUCCUAGCUCUUAUGUGCAUAGCAAUAUUGCUGGUCUUGUUAGUUUACUUGAAGUUUGUAAGUCAGCUAAUCCACAACCUGCAAUUGUGUGGGCUUCUUCGAGUUCUGUUUACGGGCUUAAUACUAAAGUUCCAUUCUCGGAGAGAGAUAGGACUGAUCAGCCUGCUAGUUUAUAUGCUGCUACUAAGAAAGCUGGUGAAGAGAUUGCACAUACUUUUAAUCAUAUAUAUGGACUUUCUUUGACUGGUUUGAGGUUUUUCACGGUUUAUGGCCCGUGGGGAAGGCCGGAUAUGGCAUAUUUCUUUUUCACCAGGGAUAUUUUGAAGGGGAAGUCCAUACCAAUAUUUGAGGCAGCUAAUCAUGGCACGGUGGCUAGGGAUUUUACCUACGUUGAUGAUAUUGUGAAAGGGUGUUUGGCAGCAUUGGAUACUGCCGAGAAGAGUACUGGUAGUGGAGGGAAGAAGAAGGGUCCGGCUCAAUUGAGGGUAUAUAAUUUGGGGAAUACUUCACCUGUGCCAGUUUCAGAUCUUGUGAGUAUCUUGGAGAAGCUUUUGAAGGUUAAUGCAAAGAGGAAUAUUAUGAAGUUGCCAAGAAAUGGGGAUGUUCAGUUUACUCAUGCCAAUAUUAGCUUGGCUCAGAGGGAGCUUGGAUAUAAGCCCUCAACUGAUUUGCAGACUGGGUUAAAGAAGUUUGUCAGGUGGUAUGUCAGUUACUAUUCUGGAGGGAAGAAGGCUGCUGGAUAAUUCAUUCUUUGUAUUGUGGUAGGAUCCUCCGAAUUCUUGUUCAUUAUCAUUUUUACCAUUGUUUUUAACAUUUCUCUGUUUGUUGCCUGAUUAUCGUUAUUUCAUAUAUCUUUAAUGAUUAUAAGGAGGUAUAUCAUAUCCUACUUUGAAGAAGUUUUGUGAUCAGUGGACAUUGUUUGCUGGGCAGGCACAUGCUGUGUCAAAAGAACACCGGAACAAUCUUUUUUUUUUUUAAUUUUUCCUUUUUCUGUCCCAUGGAAUGUAAUUGUUGUAGUUUUGGUAUUGUAGAAUUCAUGACUGAUAGAGCAUAUGCUGAUUGAUAGACAUGUAUCAUUCCUAUGCAAUUCCAAUAAAAUAGCACAGAUAAUAUGUUCUUUCCUUUGUGGAGAAAUUGGGUCGCAUUUUGAAAAUUGAUUUUUCUUUUAAUAUUUGCCGAAUCCAACCACCCCCCCCCCCCCCAAAAAAAAAAAAAAGAAAAAAAAAAGAAAAAGAUGCUUGGUGUAUUGAAUAUAAUUUCCCUCAUAAAUUUAUUGUACUUAUGUAAAGAUAAUGUGCUGAUGCUGAUGUCUUGCCGUGCUCUUUUUCCCUUUUAGAUAAAUAAGUUUGCUUGACUUUGACACCUAAAAGCCAAUGGUCCACUUUUAUUUCCUUUCAUUUUGAGUUAAUGCUAGAUAUUUGCUCUUUUAUUGAGGUACUAUGCAUUUUUGUUCACUAGCAUAGAGGAAUUGCUCCUUUCAAUUUUAUGAUCUUGAUAUUAAUGAAUAUUAUAUGGUUCCUGAAAUAUGUUUAUAUGAAUCACUGUUUAAGAAUUGACAAAACAUUACUAUUUCGGGUUUGAAUAAAUUGUCUGUGGCCUGUUGAACUUUAGGAAUGGCUAUUAUGUUAUUACUCUUUAUCAAGUGCUAUCCAAUGUGGUCCAUGAUACUAGAAUCAUUCAGUUUAACAAUUAGUGGAAUACUAGGCAAUCUAAGACGAAUUUUAUUCCUAAUGAACUGGUCCUUGUACAACUAAAAGAUCAUUGUCAAUAGAAGCAUCUGCUUUAAAUUUAUCUUUUGAUGUAAUUUGCUUUAGCUUUGACAUUGUCAUUCAUAUACUUAUAUUUCAUCAUUGAAAGUGUUGUCUUUAUAAGUCUUCAGGGACUGAGAACCUCAUGUCAUAUGAUGUGAACAAAAUUUAUGAAGCCAAAAUAACGUGGAUUAGUGGAAUACUAGGCAAUCUAAGAUGAAUUUUAUUCCUUAAUGAACUGGUCCUUGCACAACUAAAAGAUCAUUGUCAAUACAAGCAUCUGCUUUAAAGUCAUAUUUUGAUGUAAUUUACUUCAGCUUUGACAUUGUCAUUUAUAUACUUAUAUACUUAUAUUUUGUCAUUGAAAGUGGUGUCUUUAUAAGUCUUCAGGGACUGAGAACCUCAUGUCAUAUGAUGCAAACAUAAUUUAUGUGGCCUGGUGGAUUGGUGGAAUAUUAGGCAAUCUAAGACUAAUUUUAUUCUUUAAUGAAGUGGUCCUUGUACAAGUAAAAGAUCAUUGUCAAUAGAAGCAUCUGCUUUAAAUUUAUCUUUUGAUGUAAUUUACUUUAGCUUUGACAUUGUCAUUUAUAUACUUAUAUUUCAUCAUUGAAAGUGUUUGUCUUUAUAAGUCUUCAGGGACUGAGAACCUCAUGUCAUAUGAUGUGAACAUAAUUUAUGUAGCCAAAAUAACGUGGAUUAGUGGAAUACUAGGCAAUCUAAGACGAAUUUUAUUCCUAAUGAACUGGUCCUUGUACAAGUAAAAGAUCAUUGUCAAUAGAAGCAUCUGCUUUAAAUUUAUCUUUUGAUGUAAUUUACUUUAGCUUUGACAUUGUCAUCUAUAUACUUAUAUUUCAUCAUUGAAAAUGUUGUCUUUAUAAGUCUUCAGGGACUAAGAACCUCAUGUCAUAUGAUGUGAACAAAAUUUAUGAAGCCAAAAUAACGUGGAUUAGUGGAAUACUAGGCAAUCUAAGAUGAAUUUUAUUCCUUAAUGAACUGGUCCUUGCACAACUAAAAGAUCAUUGUCAAUAGAAGCAUCUGCUUUAAAGUCAUAUUUUGAUGUAAUUUACUUCAGCUUUGACAUUGUCAUUUAUAUACUUAUAUACUUAUAUUUCAUCAUUGAAAGUGGUGACUUUAUAAGUCUUCAGGGACUGAGAACCUCAUGUCAUAUGAUGCGAACAUAAUUUAUGUAGCCAAAAUAACGUGGAUUGGUGGAAUGCUAGGCAAUCUAAGACGAAUUUUAUUCCUUAAGGAACUGGUCCUUGUACAAGUAAAAGAUCGUUGUCAAUAGAAGCAUCUGCUUUAAUGUCAUCUUUUGAUGUAAUUUACUUUGGCUUUGACAUUGUCAUUUAUGUAUUUAUAUUUCGUCAUUGAAAGUGGUGUCUUUGUAAGUCUUCAAGGAUUGAGAACCUCAUGUCAUAUGAUGUGAACAUAAUUUAUGUAGCCAAAAUAAACGUGGAUUGUUUAUUAAAGGAAGAUAUAAAAUACAGGGUCCAACACAGCUAAAAUAACUAGUUGUUAUUCAUUUAUUAUUAUCUAGGAGCUUUUAGUGCAUCUUGUGGGUUUGGUUUUGACUUGCCACAGUUGAUUUGGUCUACUUUCGAAUGUUUCUAGAGUUACAGUGCACUUGGAGUUUAUUAAUGGUUCUUUCAUUGACAAUGACCUGAAGGAGAUAAACUAGAGGUUCAUGGAGAAUGAUUUUGACUUUGAAGAUCUUUUGGCAGCAUAUGGGAUUAUCCUCUACGGUAGUUAUUAAAGUAGGCAACUGUUUCUUCUGUUUGCUAGCAAUUAUUUUGGAUUUGCUCUGUCUUCAUAUCCACCAAUUAAACCGUCUCUCUUGUGAAUUUUGUUAUGGCCAGAAUUUGUGGAAAACGCAAGUUUAUAUAGGGAGAAGUCCGUUUAAUUCCAGGCAGCAAUUGUUGGUCUAAAAAUUUUUGCUUUUGUUGUAUCCUCGUGAGGCUUGUGCAGUUGAAAAGAGAUUAUUCUCAAAAGUCUAUUCCACUUUCACCAUUCUUUUCACUAUCCAGUAUUCACAUCAGAUGGAACGAAUCUUAGAUCUUUAUAAGGCACGGGGCUAGGAUGACAAAUAUACCUAUACCCUUAAAAGAGUUUUCAUUUGGUCUUAUAAAAUCGAAUUGUUUUUUUAAUUGAGUUUCGGAUCAAAAUCGAUUUUUUAAAGCUGGAGUCAGAUCUGAAUUAGAUUUUAGGUAAAUCUUUUCCGAGUCCAAUAUAUAUGCACAUAUAUAUAUAUAUAUUAUUUUUAUUAUUUAUUUAAUUUUAUAUUUAUAUAUUAUAUUAAUAAAAUUAGUAUUUAAUAGUUUAAUUUAAGAUAUUAAUUUAAUAAAAUAUUAUAUUUAUAUAUUAAAAAUAAUAUUUUAUAUAUUAAAUUAAUUUCAAACUGGAUUUAUUAUGAUUUUUUAUGUAUUAGAUUGAGUAUGAAAAAAAUAUUUUGAUAUCUGAUCAAAUUAAAAUCAAAUAUAUAUUUUAUGAAAUUAGAUCAAAAUAAAAAUUUAUUUCAAUCCGAUUCAUUAUUAUCGUUAAUUCGAUUCAUUAUUAUCGUUAGUUGUGACUGACGAAAUAAUAAAGCUAAAAAAAAGAAAGAUUGUAGGAAAUAGGAUACCAAGGAUGCAUACUGUAGGAUUUCUGUACCUGUCAAAAUUUUCAUGUAAUCCCGAAAUGCUCAACAGUUUUUCUAGGCAAAACCUGUUAAUGACCUCUUAUUAAUCGCUUUUAACCCUUCAUUGUGGCCCUUUGCCAAAUGCAAAACAAAGUCAAAAGGUCUGAUCAUGUCAGGGUGGCAAGAAAUAUUCGCUUGGCAACAUCUGCUGAACCAAACCACACUACCAUUGUAAAUUUGUACUCCACAUUGUUUGCUGAAAUUAAGAAGGAAAUUUGCAAAUUUUUACAUCAAAUCAUACAGAUUCCAGCUAUGUUUCCACAGUUCGACCAAGAAAACAGAAACCGAAAUAGAGAAGUAUAAGAGUGUACAUCAAGGAAUUAAGCUUGUAAUAUAGUCCUUUAUAAUCCAGUAAAGAAUCAGUCGCAUUUCGCACGAUCCUUGCCGUCUCUGUAAGCUCGCUCUGCUAAUGUAUUCAAGGAAUAUCAGAUUCACCAAAAAGUGGGAAAAUCAUACCCACUAAGCGAACGAUGGUCGGGUGCCCACCCAAAGUGGAUAACUUGCGUGACACAAUGCGGUAGUUUCCCUACCGCUCCCCUCCAUCAAUGUAUCAUAAGAUGUAUUAGCUAUGCAAAACCAAAUGAAAUUACUCAAAAGUCAUAUUUUGUUCUUCCACUCUUCAAGAUGAGGCACAACAUAUCUGAAAUGUCAGCAGAAGAACUGAAAAAGUUCCAAGCCUCAAGCAUUAGGCGUUUCCUUGAUCCUUUAAAAUGAACAACCUGUAUCCAGUUAAAUGAAAAUACAAUAAAUUCAUACGUGAAACAACUUCAGCAAAAAUAUACUCGAAUUUCAGGCUCACCUAGCAACCAAAAUAAUCAUGAAAGGCUUAAAUACCUUAACAUCCAGAGGCAUGCCAUGAAACUGGCCAGCACCCUCUGGUGGUGUCCAAUUAUAUGUAGCACAUGGUAAAAAUAGCACCGAUGCACCACCAAUCUCUUUUAUAAAAGCCUGUGCUUUACUAAAUCUUUUUCCAUUAAAAGAGGGAUGGGAUUUUACAACCCAGGCAAGAGCAAACUGAUCACCAAGCAUUCGGGAAGCAUUCAUGUAUCUGGAACUAUAGACUUCCAAUACUUUUUGUAGAAAAAUUUUUGCCCUGCAUGCAGGUACAUAUAUAUUCAUCUUCUUCAGUGAAAAUUUUGAUAGUAUGUUGUCAAAAUAUUAUGAGGAAAGAAAAGAAAUUGUUUACUCUGAACUCACUACAAAUCAUAUCCUUCAUUGGAAGGAGAAAUUCUGAGUUAAAUACCUCCCACACCACCUUCAGCCCAGCUGGCCCAUGAAGGCUUAGGUAUAGAAGUCAACAAAACCAGAAGACUGAAAGUGGAAUAAAAAGAAGGGUCUCAACCUUAAAAUACCAUCACGUGUACCCCUCACAGCAAUAAAUCCAGAAUUCAGCGGCUGCUCUUUGUUGUUCCUGAAGGUGAGGGCCAAAUGAAAGUUUUGGUGCAUUUCAAAUAUCUGUCCUAGGUCAUCAAUUACAGCAAUAUCUGAGUCUGUAAAGAUGAAAUGAGUUAUACGCCCCAGCUCCUGAGAUAGCUUCUCAAGCCUGAUUUCCAGAAAGGUCUACAUAGAAAAAUGGCAGUUUUGCAGAUAAAUUAGGAUAACGUUUUUCAUAAUUAAUCAUGAUCAGAUGGUCUUGGACUUCUAUGAUUGUCAUGACUUUAGUUUAUCUUGAUAGCUUCAAUGACUUCUUUUAUGGUUAAAAAAAAAAAAAAGACAGGUUUUACAAAUUGCUCUCCCCAUCCAAUAAGGAGGAGAAAGAGUAUAAUAAUGUUAGUCAAAAAAGAAAAAAGACAGGUUAGGAGUGGGGGAAAUCAUCUUUAUUUAAAAAGAAAAAAAAGAGGGGAAACAUUAAAAGAUAAAGCAGAUACAAGAAAGGCUAUGAAGCUUUUUCGGGCUUCAGAAAAUCAAAAAAGAAAACUAAAUAUAUGGUUAAUGGAACAUACUAUAAAUGAACAGCAAAACUUUUCUACCUAUAUAACAAUGCGAUAUGCUCUUACAAUGUAAGACCUGAUUCUUUGAAGCAUCAAUUUGUCUCGGGAAUAUUCACCCUGAAUGGGAUGUACAGUAACUCUGUUUUGGUGCACUGAGAGAUCUGAUUCUGGAUCAGUCAGAAUAAUAAUAUUGCUCUGAGGCAUUCUCACCUGAAAGAUUUUAAUUCAGAACUCCCAUUAAAUAAAAGCUCCAAAGCAAAUGUAGGUUUUAGUUUAAUGAAUGCAAGAUACAAAUUAGAACAAAUCCUGUACAUUACAAUAAUUCCAUAAUACAUAAGAAAGUAAGUUAAAAACAUUAAAUAUGAACUUAUAUAUAACAGAGUUUAGUUCUGAAACUUCAAGCAAAUUAAAAGAUGUUUGUAGUUGACAUUUCCAUCUGAAAGCUAGAUGCAUAAUAUUGCAUGAUCUUUAACCGGAGAGUUACCUGAAUGAAGUUAAUGAAAACAUUCAAAAUGGCCAUUGAUCUCUCUGACUUACUAUAUGAAGCAUUCCCAACAGUAACCAAAUUUGAUGAUCUAUUCACAAGAGUGUCAAGUGAGUUGUUAUAAAUGGUAAAAACAGUGACAAAGGCAAUACCAUCUCCAACACCAGAGACAUGAGAAGGGUUUGAAAAUUGGGUCUUGUUGAGAGCUUUAACUCCUGCAACAUAUCAAAAACAUAAAAACGCAUAGAAUAUCACAUCAAGAAGUUUAGGAGCUGGGGUCUCAAUACAAGUAUUUUCUUUGAUUUUUUUCUUUUUUUAUUCAAUGAGAACAUCCUAUGUGGUAUCACAGAUGUCUAGACCUAACAGACUCCUAAAUUCAUCCACCAGUUAUUCCAGUAUCUAGGAUUUUUGAAAAUGAAUGCAAGUCUAGGUUUUUGGGCCCUUUUACCAAAUUAAUGUCCUAUCAACAAGGAAUUAGAAAGAACCUUGACACUGCAAACGAUUGGGCAAGCCUUCUCCAGCAGCAGGUCCAAGAACCAGGUGAUCAAAUUUCUUGCUAUUUUUCUUGGGGGCAUCUCUAACUGCUGAGUUCUGAUCAUCAAGUUUCUUGGUAUUUUCCUUAGGGGCAUCUCCAACUGUUUGGUUCUGAUGCAAUUCCAGAACUGAAAACAUGCAAAAAAGGGAUCAUUUUAAGGUUUGCAAAUAAUAAACAAAAAAGACAUUACAAAAAUCCACAAGUGAAUAGAUUGGUAGCAAAGAGGAACAACCACCAGAGAACAAAUAAGGAAGAAUGAAAAUAAGUGGAAAACAGAAGAGGAAGCGACGCCAUCCAACACAUGCCUUCAUGCCUAAUCAAUCUUUCCGCUGCUGCAUAAGAGUAGGGAAUUUUUUUUUCAAUGGUGCCAUAAAAAUAGCCUAAAAUGGAUGCAGCAACCAAAAAAAAAUAUAUAUAUAUAUAUAUAUAUAUAUAUAUAUAUAUAUAUGAAAUACGGUUUUUUAAAAUGGGAACCUACUAAAUUUACAACUUCAUUAACAAAAACAUUCGUGAAUCCGAUAUUAAGACAAAUCAUGAUAAAAUGUUCCGAUUAGAGGUAGAUUUUAGAAGUCUCAGAAGUUAAAAGCACAUGGAUUUCAGAUCAGGUUCAAGUAAAUGGAAGCAAAAAAAAAUUCACAACCAUGCCAGGCCAGCCAACAAGUAUAGAAAGUAAACACAAAUGAAAAUUUUAACAACGAGAUGCAGUUGAAGAAGAUGAAGAUCCCAAACCUGGAUUAAAAGCAGGAAAUAAAGCAAUGGGUUUCUUGACGAUGCGAUAAAGAAGAACUUUUAUCUCCUUGCCUAAAUGACACAAGAGAAUCGGAAAUUGUGUACUAAUCAGGAAUUUACGAGAUUCUUACUUCUUGCUUCUUCUAGAAAUUUUUUUAAUCAAGUAUGUUAUUAAUAAAAUGUUGAUUUUUUUAUGUAUUAAACAAAUUAUUUCAAUAAAUAAUUUUUUUUAUACAAGGAAAUUCUUUGAAAAUAGAAAAAUCGCUUACAUGUAUUAUAAUUUGAACUUUAAAAAUACCAAAUAUUGUUUUAAAAAUGAUUAUAUAAAUAAAUUGAAUUAAACUUUAAUUUUAUUUCAACAAAUAAUUUUAAGCGUACCAUAAUUCAUAAAUUGAAUUUAACUAACAAAAAAAUUUUGUUUUCCUAAAAUCCUUUAUCGGUCUACUAAGUGGUAACCGAUCUCUUUAUUAUGUAUUCGGCCCAAAAUUUUCCAAUAAAAUCUUUCCCGUGACGGUGUUGGUCCUGAACGUGACGGGAAAGAUCUCAAUAUUCUUUCAGGACUUCACGGUUCAGGUUCGCCGAAACCAAAUGCCGGUGUUGGUUCACCGAUUUUUACGUUUUUUCAUUUUCAUUUUUUCCCAUUUUUGAUGUGAAUGAAUUGGGUCUGAACUCAUAAAGCUGAGAUAACUGCUGGAUAUCAGCUUGGGAGCUGUGGUACUAUUUGUCUAUUAUAGCCCAACAUGUCAGCAGCCCAAACAAAAAGUUCCGAGAUCCACAUCUGAACAGAACGUUUUGGGCUAAUGGAAUAAUGGAAAAAUAAAUUUCACCCGGUUCCUGAAAAUCUCAUCGGUUGGUAAAGAUAUGGUCGAUUUUAGCUAUGCUAUAAUGUGGCCAAGUGAACAUGUUUCAACAAAAUGAAGUAAUGUAUCUGAUCAAAUUGAAAUGAUAAUAACACAGAUUUAAAACAGAGUACAAAAAUGAUCAUUCGUAAUCCAAUUAACAUUCAAAAAGGUACAGGUCGUCUAUCUGGCCAUGAUUCUAUCUUCUCAAAGUACUUGAUAGGUACAACCCCAUCAAAACCUUCAGUCAAUAUCACCUUGUUGUCUGAAAUGUAUAGUUUCAUUCCCUCUGCAAUCAUUAUUGAUAGAACAAGAGAAGGAAACAUAAACUUAUUAGCCGAGAAAAAAAAAAAAAAAGAGAUUAAUGGUUGGCAGUGAUUUGAAAGAAGAGUGAGAAAGACAUCGUUUGUUGGCUGCCUGAAACUUGAAAGAAGUAUGCAUGCUUACCUUCCAGAGCUUUUUUGACAUUAAGAAAGAUCAAAAUGUUAACAUCUCGUCUCAUACCUGAAGAGUAGUAAAGCACAGAUUAUCAGUAGCUAUCCAACUUCACUAGGGCUCCAUCUAUGUCUAUCACUACAACUACCAAACAGUGCUCGGCAUUUGCUAAAUCCAAUUACAAAAUUGGAACCUUAGUAAUCCUUUAAUAGUCUUUAGCAUUAAUCCUCGGGUGAAAUGUAGAUAAUAGUCAUAAUAUGACCCAACCAGUUUGUCAGGUAUACCAAGCUGGGAUAUCAAAAACAAAGAGCAAAAAGAAAGGGCCACAAAUUUAGCUGCUAAGACCAUAUGUCGAAGUCCAAGAUAAUCCCAUCCGACCAGUUCAAGAAAAAUAAAAAGGAAAAGGAAAAAAUAUGACACGUCAUUACUAUCAUCUUGUAAAGAGAUUUUUGCUGAUAUCUCACCACUAAUUACUUCACCAUCUGCUGGCAAGCCACUUGAGAAGUGUACAUGCAAUCUUUUCAUGCGCUUCAAACCAGACUCCAGAAUUGAUUCCAAAUUCCUCUUAUAGGUUCCAUGUACACAUACUGUCAUCUCAGGGAAAAUAAAGACGAUUAAGCAAAAUAAAAGACGUAAAACAAGAGUAUCAAUCUGACAGACAUAAUAUUGACAUCAUAUUCUUAGUUUCUUACCUUGCACUUCAUCAGCUGCAAGGAUUUGUUUUAAUAAGCUUUCGGACUCAACUGUCUGCCAAUAGCACAUAACAGACCUUUUAGACAGAGCAGCCAAACGGUAAUUUAUAUGCUAAAACCAACAGGGAAGCAUAAAAUAAGAGGAAAAAGAUUCUGAAAAAGCACAAAGGAAUUGGUUUUUUAAAGAAGGAUUCAUCACCGUUACUGUGUGGCCUUGGUUUGCACGUAUCAAAAGCAUCCCAUUUUCCUCCAGUAGGCUAAAUCGUUGCUUAUUAUCCUUUCUGACAGCCUAGAAUCAGGAAAUAAUCAAUCACAAAAAAGAAUUAUUAGUAGCAUAUCAAUUUAGAAAGAAACCUCAUGAUCAUGAAGCAAGACCAUGAACUUUUUUCCUUUUAAUUCCAGUAACAUAUUUCGGAGACUAAGAAUGUAAAUUACUACCGGUGACAUCUCAAAGGUUUCUUUAUAAAAAGAAAAGUACCCAAAGAAGCCAUUUUCACAACAAAAAUUUCAUACUGCAAUGAUAGAAAUGGGAAAUUUUCAAUCAAACUCUAGCAUCAGCUUUUUUCACAAUGUAUUCAGACUUGAAAAUAAGAAAAAAAAAAAAAGAAUAGACUCUCAACAGUAAACGGAGAGAAGAAUUAGUCCACAGAAACAACCUCCUUGAUAUCAUCAACUGUGUGUGACCUUAAAGGAAUAUUGGCAAAUGUUUUCAAAUUCAGCUUCAGUAAAUCUUCAACUUUGACAUAACCAUCACUUCUCAUAUUCAAAUUCAGUUCAGUUGCCAUAUGUCGCAGAGUUCGUGUCCUAAAGAUAAUAAAACAAAACAAAAUACUAAUCAAUAAAAUCACUUUGGUCGAAUAUAACCAUGGUCGUAAGCAAAAGAAAUGGAUAAAAAAAUUUGACAAAAUGCUAAUCUGCAAUUUCGCUUACAAGAGUCUACCAAGAGCAUCAAUUUUGUCCUUGCCGCCGCUACCGCCACCACGGCCUCUGGAUCUUUCUCGAUCAUAUUUCAUCUCUCGGCCUCUUCCUCUGCCUCCACUGCCAAACCCCCCCCCCCCCCCCCCCAAAAAAAAAAAAGAGCAAAAUUGUUACGACACGGUUAAAUCGAUUUUGGCUACGAAUUGCGCCCAAAUGUUUAAAAUACCUUGUAUUCGAAUGGGCAAAACAUGAGAAAGACGACGACGUCGUGUUAUUAAGGUUUGUGUUCUCCAUUAAAAUUAGGGCACGAAACCUGGAAAGCUGAGAGCGUACAGUUGGAUGACGAACAACGCAAUAGCGUAAAAUUCGAAUACUGCCGUUGCUCAGGAGAGCCCACAUACGGGUGGGAUUGAUGCUAUGGGAACUCUACUUUACAGAAGACGAUGACGAUGGCGUAAGGUAAUAAUGAUACGAUGACGAUGUGGGCUUUUACGUUGUUUUAUACGAACAAUACGAUAGGUCCCAACCUAUCGUCUGUAGAAAUUGGUUUCAUUUGGGCAAGCUGGGCUAUAAAAAUCUCUUGAUCAAAGGGCUUUCAAUCAGAGAUCUGGGCUUCUAAAAGGAAUCGACAAGGAUUACCACGUCCCAAACUUCCAAAUUGUGCACAAGGAAACGAUCCAGUUAAUCAUUUGCCGAGAUAACAUGUUUUAACACAUCAAAAACCAACAUUUCAAUCAACAUACUUAUCCCUUGCACCCAAUAUAUAUAUAUAUGGAGUUGUGAUCUCCAAACGUGCGCAGAAUUAUCUACAAGGUAAUCUUUUCUGGCCUUUCCUUUCAGCAGAGAACUCUGUCAGCUCAAUUUGACAAAAUUCUAAACCAACGAGAACCAAAGAAAAUAAAUCCAAGUAACAACCACUAAAAUAGUACGAUUCAACAUCAAAAUAUUUUAAAUGAAAAGGAUCAAUUCUUCGGAUACACGUAAACCAAACUUAAACUAAGACUUCGCCUCCUAAGUAUCUCACUUUCAAACCAUAAGCGAACAAGUUCUUUAAAACCAUUAAUAGAUUGUAAUACAAAAAGGUUUAGUCCUGCAUAUUAAGAAAAUUUUCAAUCAAGGCACAGGAAGUUGGUGUAAAAGGUGCCUUCUCUAAGCCACAAGAGUGCUGGCGGUGGUAGACUCACUGCAUAAAGAAAAGUGAAGUAUGUUAAGAUUUGCGAUUUACAACCAAUCUCGAGACCAGAUAGUAGAGGCCAUAACCACCAUAGACAACUAUCAUGAGGGUUGAGGACAUUUUCUUAAAGAGCAUGCCUCUGUCCAUAAGAUAUACUAUGCAUGUCAAGAACAUCAAAGGGGGCAGGGAAAGAAUUACUCACUAUUUCCACACAGGUGGCAGCUUCUUUGUCUUUUUGUAAUAGCGAGCAAGUCGGUGGAUCCUGCUCUCAACCAAGAUCAACCUAAACUUGGAAUCCUUGUCCUUCCGGUUCCUUUCAAGAUGCUUUCUGAUGGCAACGGCUUUCUUAAUCAGGUGGUACAGAUCCUCAGGAAUUUCGGGAGCAAGACCUGACAAGAACAAAAGGAUGAGUCGAAUGUUCUGUUCAAACAUGAAGGAAAAUCCACCAGAAGACAAUGUUAAUAAAGAUGUACCAUGGGCUUUAAGUAUCCUCAAAAUCUUGCUGCCUGUAACACUCUUCACCUGAGCAAUCCCAUGGGAAUCACGAAGAAUAACACCAAUUUGAGAGGGGGUCAAACCCUUCUUUGCAAACUUGCAAAUGUUCUCCUCAACCUAAAACAUGAAAUCAAGAUUAAUGAAUAAUGCCAAAAAGAGUAAAAACUUCUUUUAAGGAGAGAGCAAACCAAAGAAGUGGUGAGUAUUUCAAUGCUGCAUUGAGGGAUGUAAAACCAGAAACAAUUGUCUCUAGAACAUUCACGACAAAACAUAAGAAUUAGUUUGUGGAAGAUUAAAUUAACUCUUAUUAAUACACCAUCAUUCAGCACUCAAGUUUCUGGCUACACUUGUGAGAUACAUAAACCAGAAUAUCUUCCAGAAGAAGAUAGUUAACCAAAGAUUGAAACAACUUGAGAUUUAUGACAAAAAGAAAGACCGGUGGUCGGCCAAACUACCAACAAAAACGAAUCAAAGACCAUUAGGAUUCCACAUUUCAGAAAAGUGAAAAAAACAAAUAUUGAAACAUAACUAAAUGCACUAUCAAACUUAAAUAUUAAUCAUUGUGUAAUUGAUUCCACAGACUUCAAUUUUCUCUAUAGCUUGUUUAAACACUUAAACCAUGACAAAUUUAAUUUCAUGAAGCAAUCAGCUUAAAACACUAAAGAUUGAAUUUAUAGACUUUAACCAGAGCAUUACCAUUGUAUUGUAAUCAAUGAGAAUAACAACUAUUUCCGGUACAAAUUACUGAAAAUUCAAUUUAUCAAACAUCCGGUUCUUCUCUGCCACUAUUCUAAUAAAAAAGGUCUUGACUCUUGAAGAUUCAAUAUAUUUAAUAAUGGAUAAAAGAGACUAACUCCACUAAAAAUAAUGAAACAAAAUUUGGCUCAUAAAAAUUAAAAAAAAAAAAAAAGUUGAAUUUCAUUUCUCAAAGUAGAAAACAAUAAAAAUAUCAUUCAUUUUCUAACCAAAGCAAAUAAAUUAAGAGAAUGAUUAAAAUAAGUGACUCACAUCUUGAGAAGAGAUCUUCAACCAACUAGGUGGAGUCCUCUUGUAGGGCAGAGCAGAUGCGGAAAUACCCUUACUGCACAGAAAUUCGAAUCAAUCAUGAAGAAGCUACAAUCACUGAGAUAAUCGUAGGAUUGUUUUGAGAGGAUAAAGAAUCAAGCGAGAGAGAAAACACAAACCCUCGGCUGUGCAUACGACCCAUGGCGGCAGAGUUUCGCGCUUGGCUGCUUUGGCUGCUUCUCACUCGACCUCUGCUUCUGGCUUGCUAGUUCUGAGCAAAGAAACCCUAGAAUAGAAAUGGAAGCUCGGGCUAGGGCUUUUUUGCUUUCGGUCUUUUGCUAGUGAUUUAUUGGGCCAUGUUACCCGUUGGAGGUUUAAUUUUUAAGAAGUGGAUUUCCUACAUAUCGGGCCACACACCAUUAAGUUGUUGUCUUAUGUGACCCAAAAGCCCAACGAUAACUUUUAUUGGAAAAUUUUGGGCCGAAUACAUAAUAAGAGAUCGGUUACCACUUGGUAGACCGAUAAAGGAUUUUAGGAAAACAAAAUUUUUUUGUUAGUUAAAUUCAAUUUAUGAAUUAUGGUACGCUUAAAAUUACUUGUUGAAAUAAAAUUAGAGUUUAAUUCAAUUUAUUUAUAUAAUCAUUUUUAAAACAAUAUUUGGUAUUUUUAAAGUUCAAAUUAUAAUACAUGUAAGCUAUUUUUCUAUUUUCAAAGAAUUUCCUUGUAUAAAAAAAAUUAUUUAUUGAAAUAAUUUGUUUAAUACAUAAAAAAAUCAACAUUUUAUUAAUAACAUACUUGAUUAAAAAAAUUUCUAGAAGAAGCAAGAAGUAAGAAUCUCGUAAAUUCCUGAUUAGUACACAAUUUCCGAUUCUCUUGUGUCAUUUAGGCAAGGAGAUAAAAACCCACCUCUUCUGAUACCAAUUCCAAACCACAAGUAGUUCUUUAAAAGCACAAAAAGUUUAGUCCUGCAUAUCGAGGAGAAUGUCAAUUGAAGCGAGCGAGGCCUUCAUUUUUCUCUCAAGCUAUCUUCUUUUUUUACUACUAAAUCAUGAAAAACUUAAUUUCAUGAAGCGAUUUGUUUAAAAUGUAUACAACACUACACGCUGACGAUAGAUUUCAAGCAGAGCAUUGCCAUUGUAUUGCAGUCAAUGAGGAUAACAACUAUUCAUCGUUCUAUUUAUUCAAGCAUCGGGUUCAAUUCACGUAAGGGACUCAAAAGUGUAACUUCACUGCGCAUACACAUUUUUAAAGUGACUCAGAUCUUGAGAAGAGAUCUCCAACCAACUAGGUGGAGUCCGCUUGUAGGGCAAAGCAGAUGCAGAAAUACACUUACUGCAAAUCCAGUAAAAUACAAGUAAGAAGCAGCUGUAAUAGAAUUCACCGGAAUAAUCAUAGGAUUGUUUAGGGAUGAAAAUGAACCAAGUGUGAGAGUAAAUUGAGCCAGAACCCAAUAAUUAUUGUCUUAUGUAGCCCAAAAGGUUUCAUUGACAAAAUGGAUUUCCAGCCUACUCUAUUUCUAAGAGACCUUUACGAGUUACAAUGUUUACUGGUAUGAACUUAUGAUAUUUUUCCUUUAUAUUGCUGCCAUGAAACAAUGGAAUUUGGAAACAUCUUUUUUCUUGCCUGCCAAUUAGAAUAGACUCAAGUAUAAUAAUGGAGAGAAAAAGAGAAAUCUCUAGGUCUGUGUGACCCUAAAAGAUCUUGGUUUAAGUAGACAAAGGAUGGUUAACGUGGGUUGAAAAAGUUAAGAGAGACUUGACUUCCAAUUCCUCUAUUGAUUCAUGCUUUAAACAGUGAGGCUUUGAAGCCAAGGCAUCAAAAGAGGAGAGUGUUGGAUGCGCAAUUAAAAGAUAGACGAUAAAAGCGAGACCUGUCUUGUCUUAUAAUUAUUUGUUUCAACCUAGGUCGUUGUUGCAUUGUUCGAAAAUUACAAGUUUUUUGAUAGUUCCACUUGUCUUCUUCGUGUGUUUUGUUGCCAUUGUUUGUCCAAAGAGAAUCAGAACUCCUGUGCCCUUCAUUAGUUUUCAAUUUUCAUAUGCAGUUGUGCCAUUUUUAUUUCCCUCGUUAUCCCCACGUUAGUUCAAAAUUUGAUGAGCUGAAAAGCUGAAAAUUUGGAGUAAUCAGGAGUAAGGACCGCUUUUCCUGAGGACCAAAUGAGGGCGUCCCGCAAGGAAUGAGACUGUUGCUGAGUUUCUUCAGACAAAAGGCUACGACGUUACGUAGAUUGGAUGCCCCAUAAUUUUAUGCGUCGGUUUUAAAUGAUGAGAAUUGAAAACGCAGAAAGAAAAUGAAAGGCUAUGAUUUUCGACACAUCUGACCAUCCAAGUCACAAAUUCAAUCAUGAUUGACAAAUCCCAUGUCGUCAUUUUUUUUUUCAGAAGUUGUAAUUAUGGCAGCAUAAGUGCCCUAAAACACAAUUAAAACCCAAAUGAAGGAAAAACAAUGGAAUUGAAUACGGCCAAAAAUAUUUUUUGAAUUUCAAUCGAAUAAUGCUAAUUUUAAAUUCCAGUACGAAAUGAGGAAUUUGGAAAAAAAGAAAAAAAGAAAAAUGUUGGUCUUGCUUGACAGUGAGGUGGGCAAGAGGGCAUGGUCACCCCAACCCCAGACUACCGACAAUGUGGAGAAAUGGAGAGCCCCCACAAAAUCCGUCCAAUUUGAUUUUCUCACCAGCGUCCAAUUAAUGGGGUUUCACAGUUUCCCAUGCUUUGAUGAAGGAGACUUGGUCUUAAAGUGGUAAGGUACAACGAAAUAUUAAAGCUCGAUGUUCACAUGAAACCUUAACAAUGAUGGUCCAUUAUCAUUGUCGUCCAACUAAAUCAACAUCAAUCUCCCAUUUACGUUGCUAAAAAAAUAAAUUUGAAAAAGGGAAAUGAUCAAAAGGAAGGGAUGUCAUGGUGUUUAUGUACCCUGUCAUGGACAGAACCGAAGGAAUUGAUUCAGUGAUAGGGUUUAUGCAGUGAAUUGAGCCAUACUUUGAAUUUAUUAUUAAAAAAAAACCAUACUUUGAACUUUGGCAUUGGAGUAAGUACAUAUUUGCAGGGAAUUCAAUCUGGUCAUCCAGCUGUCCUGGUAUGGGCAGCCUGCUUUCAACUUUCCCAGAAUCCCAGUUCAUUUCAUUCCCUUUUUCAACUAAAGUUGGGUAAAGAAAGCACUAUGAUGAUCAUUUUUACGAGAACAAUUUUCAAGGGAAGAGGGAUUAUGUUUAUGUUCUCUUGAAAAUGAUGUUCUCCUAACCUAUCAAAUCCUUCUCACCGUGAAAAAAGUUUCUUACUCUUUCAUCUCUGUUAACAGCUACCAGUUAUCAAUUCCUUUCCUGUUCUCUUGAAAAUGACUAUCACCGAACUUAUAAAAUUCUUUUUAACAAGAAAAAGGUUCCCUACUCUUUCAUCUCUGUUAAUAAAUUUAAAAUUUUUAUAUAUGAUAUAUAUAAAAUAUUAUCUAUAAAUUUAUUAAUUUUAUCAAAGUAAAAAUAUUAAAAAAAAUCAGGAUAUUUUAUAUUUUAAAUUUUUUAACCUUUAAAAAAAAUCAAAAAAUUUUAAAAAUAUCCAAUAAAAAAUUCUUCUUCUAUUUACAUUUACCGCUAACAAUGCUAUCCAAGCUAAUAUUACUAAUCACUCUUAUUUUUACUUGCUCCUUAUGCUGUACCCGUAAAAAUCAGUCUUUUAUUAUGACCUAUUGGAUACUCCAAUGAUCCAUUCAUUCUCAACGUCCCUCAAGAAAAAUUAUUAUUAUUAUUUUUUAAUAUAAAUUUGAGGCACAUAACCCUAAAUCACUUAUUUCUAAAUUAUGGACUACAAUGCAUUUGAAUGUGGUCCUGACCUGAAGAUUUACAAAUGUCCCAGCUUGGCUCUACUCGUCAAGCUACGUGAAUGUUUUCAACAAGCUAACUAAACAAAAACAUAAAAGAAUGUUUUAAACUUUUACUUCAAUAUGUUUAUUAAUGUGUAUUUAAGAAAUUUACAAAGCAGGGCUAUAAGCAUUUAUGUGAUAUGAGAGCUUAGUGUUUAUGUCAUAUGGAGGCCACACCUACAGCAGGACAGGCCCACAGUCACUCAUUUUCAAAUUAUUAUCAUUUCUUUUUCUUUGGGAAAAAAUAAAGAGAAUAAANNNNNNNNNNNNNNNNNNNNNNNNNNNNNNNNNNNNNNNNNNNNNNNNNNNNNNNNNNNNNNNNNNNNNNNNNNNNNNNNNNNNNNNNNNNNNNNNNNNNNNNNNNNNNNNNNNNNNNNNNNNNNNNNNNNNNNNNNNNNNNNNNNNNNNNNNNNNNNNNNNNNNNNNNNNNNNNNNNNNNNNNNNNNNNNNNNNNNNNNNNNNNNNNNNNNNNNNNNNNNNNNNNNNNNNNNNNNNNNNNNNNNNNNNNNNNNNNNNNNNNNNNNNNNNNNNNNNNNNNNNNNNNNNNNNNNNNNNNNNNNNNNNNNNNNNNNNNNNNNNNNNNNNNNNNNNNNNNNNNNNNNNNNNNNNNNNNNNNNNNNNNNNNNNNNNNNNNNNNNNNNNNNNNNNNNNNNNNNNNNNNNNNNNNNNNNNNNNNNNNNNNNNNNNNNNNNNNNNNNNNNNNNNNNNNNNNNNNNNNNNNNNNNNNNNNNNNNNNNNNNNNNNNNNNNNNNNNNNNNNNNNNNNNNNNNNNNNNNNNNNNNNNNNNNNNNNNNNNNNNNNNNNNNNNNNNNNNNNNNNNNNNNNNNNNNNNNNNNNNNNNNNNNNNNNNNNNNNNNNNNNNNNNNNNNNNNNNNNNNNNNNNNNNNNNNNNNNNNNNNNNNNNNNNNNNNNNNNNNNNNNNNNNNNNNNNNNNNNNNNNNNNNNNNNNNNNNNNNNNNNNNNNNNNNNNNNNNNNNNNNNNNNNNNNNNNNNNNNNNNNNNNNNNNNNNNNNNNNNNNNNNNNNNNNNNNNNNNNNNNNNNNNNNNNNNNNNNNNNNNNNNNNNNNNNNNNNNNNNNNNNNNNNNNNNNNNNNNNNNNNNNNNNNNNNNNNNNNNNNNNNNNNNNNNNNNNNNNNNNNNNNNNNNNNNNNNNNNNNNNNNNNNNNNNNNNNNNNNNNNNNNNNNNNNNNNNNNNNNNNNNNNNNNNNNNNNNNNNNNNNNNNNNNNNNNNNNNNNNNNNNNNNNNNNNNNNNNNNNNCCAACCCUUUUGGCUCCCAAACAGGGGGUUUCAAUAUUUUGGGGUACUUCUACUGGAGUGUUUGGCGCAACCCAAGCUUCUUCUCCCUUUUCCUCAACAACAGCUUUUGGUGCCUCAUCAUCUCCAGCUUUUGGAAGUUCCGUGCCUGCUUUUUGGAUCUUCUUCUACUCCCGCUUCUGGCAUUUCAUCUCAUCAUUUGGUGUGUCUAUGUUUUUUCUUUUCUAUUGUCAUGAUUCAGUUCUCCUUUAUUUCAUAUUCUUUCUGUUCUAGUUAAAUAUAUUAAAGAAUAUGAUAGUAAUGCCUUUUUGUCUUUUGGUAUUUUGUGAUGCUUUAUUGCUAGUGUUCUAAUAUCAGAUAUGUGUAUGUCAUUGAGUUGUUAUGCAAAUACAUACAUACAUGCAUAUAUAAAUAUAUUCAUAUUACAAUUAGUUGCACUUUAAUUUCAUGGAGAUGAUAGAAUUUAGUGUUCAUUAGUAAGAGACUUGUUUGUUUGAUUCAUUCUUCAUUAAGCACCUAAACAUGAUCUUGAAUGAGAGCCAUCUUUUUCAUAAGGAGCACUCGUUAUUUCGCAUAUACAUUUAAUUGCUAAUUUAUGGUAAUCUGCUUUUAUUAUUGCAUUUACUUAUGGUCAUUAAUUCUUGGGUAGCUUGGUUCUUUUCCUCAGUUUAAACUGAUGACGUUUUUUUGGGUAGAUCUUCCGUUUUUGGUCAGAAGCCUGCAUUUGGCUUUGGGUCUACACCCACUCAGUCAAGUCCAUUUGGAAGCACAACUCAGCAAUCACAGCCUGCAUUUGGUAGUGGUAUAUUUGGUUCCUCCACACCUUUUGGUUCAACUCAGUCUGCAUUUGGUUCCAGUACCCCAGCUUUCAGUGCCACAAGCACCCCAGCUUUCUGUGCCACAAGCACCCCUGUCUUUGGUGCUACAAGCACCCCCUGCAUUUGGUGCCACGAGCACCCCUUCAUUUGGUGCUACGAUCACUCCUCCCUUUGGUUCAACUGGAAGUCCAGCAUUUGGGAGCACUGGAACUGCAUUUGGCGUUUCUAAUGCCCCAGUCUUUGGAACUGGAGGUGCAUUUGGGCCAUCAAGCACACCCGCUUUUGGGACUGCCAGCACUCCUGCUUUUGGGGCUUCAAGUUCUGUUUUUGGGGGUUCAAGCACUCCUGCUCUUGGAGCAUCUUCCAGUCCUUCAUUCAGCUUUGGGUCUAGCCCAGCUUUUGGCCAAUCAACACAGGCAUUUAGUAGUAGUCCUUUUAGAACAACUUCAUUUGGAGCCCGGGGUUCUCCUCUUGGUGAGUAAUCAAGUCUACAUGAUUAAUUAUAUAAACUUUGAAAUUACUUAUGAAGUUUAGGCACAAAUAUUUAUUUUCGUAGGUCUUCCACAUUUUGAGUACUCACUAUCAUAUAUAUAUAUAUAUAAUUAAAUUCUUUUGAGUUCUCAUGUAGGAACCCAAUCUUCUGUACCGGCAUUUGGAAGCACCAGCUUUAGCCAGUCACUUUUGGGGGUCAACAUGGGGAAAGUAGAGUAGCUCCUUAUACACCUACGACUGAAGCAGAUAGUUCGAGUGGUGCAGAGCCAGCUGCAAAGUUGAAGUCAAUAUCAGCUAUGCCUGUUUACAAAGGUAAAAGUCAUGAGGGGCUGAGAUGGGAGGAUUAUCAGUUAGGAGAUAAAGGUAUGUUUGUACAAUAUUGUACAACCCUGAAAGUUAAUCAUUCUUCUUUUCUGUGUUUGACAUUCCCUACCUUGCUAUAUUAAUUUGAAAUUUCAGUUGGACUGCAGCCAGCUGCUCAGCCUUCUGGAUGGAUUGGCUUUGGUGUGUCAACUGCACCUACAAGUCCUUUUGGUUGUUCUUCAACAUUUGGUCAAACAUUGUCAAAUCCUUUUUCCAGCAAAAGUACCAAUCCAUUUAGUCUAAAACCUCCAUCCUUUGAGAGUACAGGUUGUACAACUUCGACUGCUAUAUCAAAUCCUUUUCGAUGGACAUCAUCAAGCCUUUUUGGCCCAACUUCGUCAUCAACAUCUUCAAUAUUUGGUUCCUUUUGAGUACAAGUUCAUAUCAUAUACAUGCAGGAACCCAAUAUUCUGUACUGGCAUUUGGGAGCACUAGCUUUGGCCAGUCAACUUUUAGGGGUCAACGUGGGGGAAGUAGAGUAGCUCCAUAUACACCUAAAACUGAAGCAGAUAGUUCGAGUGGUACAGAGUCAGCUGAAAAGUUGGAGUCAAUAUUAGCGAUGCCUGUUUACAAAGAUAAAAGUCAUGAGGAGCUGAGAUGGGAGGAUUAUCAGUUAGGAGAUAAAGGUACCUUUGUAAAAUAUUGUACAACCCUGAAAGUUAAUCAUUCUUCUUCUGUGUUUGACAUUCCCUACCUUGCUAUAUUAAUUUGAAAUUCAGGUGGACCACAGCCAGCUGCUCAUCCUUCUGGAGGGAUUGGCUUUGGUGUGUCAACUGCACCUAAAAGUCCUUUUGGUUCUUCUUCAACAUUUGGUCAAACAUCUUCAAAUCCUUUUUCCGGCACAAGUACCAACCCAUUUAGUCUAAAACCUCCAUCCUUUACAGGUUUUACAACCUCGACUGCUAUAUCAAAUCCUUUUCAAUGGACAUCAUCAAGCCUUUUUAUCCUAACUUCGGCAUCAACAUCUUCAAUAUGUGGUUCCUUUUGAGUGCAAGUUCAUAUCAUAUAUAAAUAAUUAAAUUCUUUUGAGUUCUCUUGUAGGAACCCAAUCUUCUGUACUGGCAUUUGGAAGCACUAGCUUUGGCCAGUCACCUUUUGGGGAUCAACAUGGGGGAAGUAGAGUAGCUCCUUAGACACCUACAACUAAAGCAGAUAGUUCGAGUGGUACAGAGUCAGCUGCAAAGUUGGAGUCAAUAUCAGCGAUGCCUGUUUACAAAGAUAAAAGUCAUGAGGAGCUGAGAUGGAAGGAUUAUCAGUUAGGAGAUAAAGGUACCUUUGUAAAAUAUUGUACAACCCUGAAAGUUAAUCAUUCUUCUUUUCUGUGUUUGACAUUCCCUACCUUGCUAUAUCAAUUUGAAAUUUCAGGUGGACGGCAGCCACCUGCCUAGCCUUCUGGAGUGAUUGGCUUUGGUGUGUCAACUGCACCUACAAGUCCUUUUGGUUGUUCUUCAACAUUUGGUCAAACAUCUUCAAAUCCUUUUUCCCGCACAAUUACCACUCCAUUUAGUCUAAAACCUCCAUCCUUUAAUAGUACAGGUUUUACAACCUUGACUGCUAUAUCAAAUCCUUUUCAAUGGACAUCAUCAAGCCUUUUUGGCCCAACUUUGUCAUCAACAUCUUCAAUAUUUGGUUCUUCUUCCACUCCUACGUUUGGAACUGGUUCAUCUCCCUUUAGUCUGUCUGUCACUCCCUCAUUUUCAACUUCACCGUCCAUUUUUGGUGCUGGCGCAGCUCCUGCAACAACUCCAGCAUUUGCUACUGGUUUAAAUUUUAGCAUUUGCUACUGGUUCAAUUCUACCCCUGCAAUUGGGUAGACAAGCAAAGCUUUUGGGUGGAUGACCUCUACCUUUGGACAGAAUACUAGUAACUUUGGUCAAACAAGCAUUUUCAACACGCCUUCCACUGGAUUUAUUGGGAAUAUGUUUUCGAGUUCUCUAUCCUUGGCUCCUUCUAGUAACCCAGCUGCCUUCGGCACAACUGUAAGUUAUAAUGUUUGUUGCUUAGUCUUCAAUUUGAUCUAAGCGCUUUAUUUCUGUACAUUUUCAUCAUUCUGUUUUAGGGUUGCAGAAUUAUCUGCAUUUCUUCCUUCUUUUAUUGAACUGAGAGUUCAAAAUAAUUGUCUACUGUUGAGCCCUGUGGUGUAUGAUUGAUUGAAAAGUGGACUAGAUAUCCAAUUUAAUUGCUGAUAGGAUUCAGAUAUUUGCUUCUCAAUACGCCAAUUACAAUGCUAAACUUCUCGAUACAUUUCACAGAGGCGGAUUAAGUUGCCUUCAAGGAAAUAAUAUUUAGGUGAGGGUCCUACCACUCAUGAAAGAGCAACUCUAAUCCGCUGAUAUAAAAUAUUAUUACAUUCCUCACCAUAUAAGAUUACAGUUCUUACGUGUUUAUUUCAUUUGUUAAUCGAUAUCUUUAGGAUCAUUUUUCAGUGAUGAUGAAGAUACACCCAGCACACCUAAGUCUGAUGCUGUUUUUAUUCCUAGGGAAAACUCAAGGGCUCUGGGCAUUUAUCCUAGAGCUGGUCGACGGGAAAGGGCUGGUCGAGGGGAGAUGGGAUGUUAGUGCUCUUACCUGAAUCUUUGAAUUUUAAGGAG
Molecule: long non-coding RNA, 33338 nt
Filed under: Durio zibethinus
Lineage: Eukaryota; Viridiplantae; Streptophyta; Magnoliopsida; Malvales; Malvaceae
Description: long non-coding RNA (DZIB_LNC000499)
Source: RNAcentral